UUGCCCCAUGAUUAUAAAAAGACGCAUUAAGAGAACUUAUGCUGGGAUUCUUUUUCUUUUUUCCUCUUUUGUUUUUACUCUUUCUCUUCCUUUUCUAUACUUCUUUUCCUCUCUUUGAAAAAAUAAUUAAAAAAAAAAAAAAGAACCA
Molecule: small nucleolar RNA, 148 nt
Organism: Ochotona curzoniae (black-lipped pika)
Lineage: Eukaryota; Metazoa; Chordata; Mammalia; Lagomorpha; Ochotonidae
Product: small nucleolar RNA SNORD97
Exons: 1
Source: RefSeq, a predicted model, not a curated record